AGGGUUUGAUCCUGGCUCAGAAUGAACGUUGGCGGCAUGGAUGAGGCAUGCAAGUCGUGCGGAAAGGCUUCUUCGGAAGUACUCGAGCGGCGAAAGGGAGAGUAACGCGUGGAUACUUACCUCUUAGCCCGGGAUAGCCACGGGAAACUGUGGGUAAUACCGGAUAAAAUCUUCGGAUCAAAGGUGUGAUUCCGCUGAGAGAGAGGUCCGCGUCCUAUUAGCUUGUUGGUGAGGUAACGGCUCACCAAGGCCACGAUGGGUAGCGGGUGUGAGAGCAUGGCCCGUCUCACUGGGACUGAGACACUGCCCAGACACCUACGGGUGGCUGCAGUCGAGAAUCUUCGGCAAUGGGCGCAAGCCUGACCGAGCAAUGCCGCGUGCGGGAUGAAGGCCUUCGGGUUGUAAACCGCUGUCAGAGGGUAGGAAAUGGAUUAUUCAGUAAUUCUUGACCGAUCCUCAGAGGAAGGACGGGCUAAGUUCGUGCCAGCAGCCGCGGUAAGACGAACCGUCCAAACGUUAUUCGGAAUCAUUGGGCUUAAAGGGUGCGUAGGCGGUCCGAAAAGUGGGAUGUGAAAGACUCCGGCUCAACCGGAGCGGGUCGUUCCAAACUUUCGGGCUGGAGGGAGACAGAGGCGAGCGGAACUACGGGUGGAGCGGUGAAAUGUGUUGAUAUCCGUAGGAACACCGGUGGCGAAAGCGGCUCGCUGGGUCUUUUCUGACGCUGAGGCACGAAAGCUAGGGUAGCGAACGGGAUUAGAUACCCCGGUAGUCCUAGCCGUAAACGAUGAGCACUAGACAGGAGGACCACCCAGAGUCUUCCGGUCGCACGGAAACGGUCAAGUGCUCCGCCUGGGGAGUAUGUCCGCAAGGAUGAAACUCAAAGGAAUUGACGGGGGCUCACACAAGCGGUGGAGGAUGUGGCUUAAUUCGAGGCUACGCGAAGAACCUUAUCCUGGUCUUGACAUGCAUGGAUUAGCUCCCUGAAAGGGGAGUGACGCCUUCGGGUGGAACUUGCACAGGUGCUGCAUGGCUGUCGUCAGCUCGUGUCGUGAGAUGUCGGGUUAAGUCCCUUAACGAGCGAAACCCUUGUUCCUAGUUGCCAGCGGAUCAUGCCGGGGACUCUAGGAAGACUGCCGGUGUUAAACCGGAGGAAGGUGGGGAUGACGUCAAGUCCUCAUGGCCUUUAUGACCAGGGCUGCACACGUCCUACAAUGAGGCGGACAAGGGGAAGCUAGCCCGCGAGGGUUUGCAAAUCUCUAAAACCGUCUCCCAGUACGGAUUGCAGGCUGCAACUCGCCUGCAUGAAGCCGGAAUCGCUAGUAAUCGCAGGUCAGCAUACUGCGGUGAAUAUGUUCCUGAGCCUUGUACACACCGCCCGUCAAGCCACGAGAACGGGGGGCGUCCGAAGUCGCCGAGCCAACCUUCUAGGAAGCAGGCGCCGAAGAUGAACUCCGUGAUUGGGACUAAGUCGUAACAAGGUAGCCGUAGGGGAACCUGCGGCUGGAUCACCU
Molecule: ribosomal RNA, 1511 nt
Filed under: Planctomycetales bacterium 10988
Lineage: Bacteria; Pseudomonadati; Planctomycetota; Planctomycetia; Planctomycetales
Description: bacterial SSU rRNA
Rfam family: Bacterial small subunit ribosomal RNA
Source: RNAcentral